UACGUAGGGGGCAAGCGUUAUCCGGAAUUACUGGGUGUAAAGGGUGAGUAGGCGGCAUGGUAAGCCAGAUGUGAAAGCCUUGGGCUUAACCCGAGGAUUGCAUUUGGAACUAUCAAGCUAGAGUACAGGAGAGGAAAGCGGAAUUCCUAGUGUAGCGGUGAAAUGCGUAGAUAUUAGGAAGAACACCAGUGGCGAAGGCGGCUUUCUGGACUGAAACUGACGCUGAGGCA
RNAcentral lists this ribosomal RNA (230 nucleotides) under uncultured microorganism. RNAcentral describes it as "partial 16S ribosomal RNA". It matches the Rfam family "Bacterial small subunit ribosomal RNA", at positions 524 to 753 of the family's 1533-position model. The record is from RNAcentral.